Molecule: non-coding RNA, 185 nt
Filed under: Microcoleus sp. FACHB-831
Lineage: Bacteria; Bacillati; Cyanobacteriota; Cyanophyceae; Oscillatoriales; Microcoleaceae
Description: 6S / SsrS RNA
Rfam family: 6S / SsrS RNA
About the family: E. coli 6S RNA was the first non coding RNA to be sequenced, but its function was unknown until recently. It consists of 184 nucleotides that fold into an extended hairpin structure with a large single-stranded internal bulge.
Source: Rfam by way of RNAcentral
GUUGGACGGCGACGUUGGUGACUGCCAAUAACGUUUUUUGAUCUAUGCCUUUUCCUUAAGGGAACCGACACGUCUUAGCGGCAGUAAACCGGGCAAGUACCCGGAAACUUUAAGCAUGGACAACUGGUACCCACCUGGUUCAAACCAGGUCAUAAACUGAGGUAAGACGGCGUUGCGGUUCAGCU